AACGCACAUUGCGCCCUUCGGUAUUCCGUUGGGCAUGCCUGUUCGAGCGUCAUUUAACCCUUCAAGCUCUGCUUGGUGUUGGGCGUUUGUUCCGCCUCUGCGCGUGGACUCGCCUCAAAUAUAUUGGCAGCCGGUAAGUUGGCUUCGUGCGCAGUACAUUGCGUUUUGAUUCCAGCUUGCCCCCUCCCAGUAAGCUCCUUUUAUUACUUUGACCUCGGAUCAGGUAGGGAUACCCGCUGAACUUAA
This 246-nucleotide unclassified non-coding RNA is filed under the name uncultured fungus. RNAcentral describes it as "partial contains 5.8S ribosomal RNA, internal transcribed spacer 2, and large subunit ribosomal RNA". Lineage: Eukaryota; Fungi. The record is from RNAcentral.